This 253-nucleotide ribosomal RNA is filed under the name uncultured bacterium. RNAcentral's name for it is "partial 16S ribosomal RNA". It matches the Rfam family "Bacterial small subunit ribosomal RNA", at positions 524 to 776 of the family's 1533-position model. The record is from RNAcentral.
UACGGAGGGGGCGAGCGUUGAUCGGAAUUACUGGGCGUAAAGCGCACGCAGGUGGCGUCAUAAGUCAGGUGUGAAAUCCCGGGGCUCAACCUCGGAAUUGCAUUUGAUACUGUCUUGCUGGAGUACGGGAGAGGAGGGUGGAAUUCCUAGUGUAGCGGUGAAAUUCGUAGAUAUCAGGAAGAACACCAGUGGCGAAGGCGGCUCUCUGGUCCGGUACUGACUCUCAAGUGCGAAAGCGUGGGGAGCAAACAGG